AGAUUUCUUCGGAAUGAAGUUUUAGUGACUGAGUGGCGGACGGGUGAGUAACGCGUGGGUAACCUGCCUCACACAGGGGGAUAACAGUUGGAAACGGCUGCUAAUACCGCAUAAGCGCACAGUACCGCAUGGUACGGUGUGAAAAACUCCGGUGGUACAAGAUGGACCCGCGUCUGAUUAGCUAGUUGGUGAGGUAACGGCCCACCAAGGCGACGAUCAGUAGCCGGUCUGAGAGGAUGAACGGCCACACUGGAACUGAGACACGGUCCAGACUCC
Molecule: ribosomal RNA, 276 nt
Filed under: uncultured Eubacteriales bacterium
Lineage: Bacteria; Bacillati; Bacillota; Clostridia; Eubacteriales
Also listed under: 1 other name
Description: uncultured Clostridiales bacterium partial 16S ribosomal RNA
Rfam family: Bacterial small subunit ribosomal RNA
Source: RNAcentral